UACUGGUACAAAAGCACAUAGACCAAUGGAACAGAAUAGAGAACCCAGAAAUAAGACCUCACAACUACAACCAUCUGAUCUUUAAAAACCUGCCCAAAAAAAAAAAAAAAAAAAAANNNNNNNNNNUUUUUUUUUUUUUUUUUUUUUUUUGAGGCGGAGUCUCGCUCUGUCGCCCGGACUGGAGUGCAGUGGCCGGAUCUCAGCUCACUGCAAGCUCUGCCUCCCGGGUUUACGCCAUUCUCCUGCCUCAGCCUCCCGAGUAGCUGGGACUACAGUAUGAAGAAGAGAAGACAACGACCCCAGGACAGAUCAAAGCCCACGCCGCUGCAUCCCACGUGCCCAGCGCCAUCCCACGUCCUGCCGCCGUUGCCACCACCACCGUGCCCAAGAGAAAGGCUGAAGGUGAUGCUAAAGGAGAUAGAACCAAGAUGAAGGAUGAACCACAGAGACGAUCUGCGAGAUUUUCUGCUAAGCCUGCUCCCCCAAAGCCAGAGCUCAAACCUAAAAAGUCCCCUGAAAAGAAGGCAGAGAAGGUACCCAAAAAGAAAAAGGGAAAAGCUGAGGCUGCCAAGGAGGGGAAUAACCCUGCAGAAAAUGGAGAUGCCCAAACAGAUCAGACACAGAAAGCUGAAGGUGCUGCAGAUGCCAAGUGAAGGUCCCCCAGGCUGGAGUGCAGUGUCACGAUCCCGGCUCACUGCAACCUCCACCUCCUGGGUAAGAGAAAAACCUGUUGAUCAAGCAAAUUUCACAGAGAUGGAAACUGAGAUGUGGAGAAGUUGAGCAAGUACCUUGCCCAGCGGCACACAGCUAGCAAGUGGUGGAGCGAGGAUGCUGCAGACUGGAUUCCAGAGCCCGGGUGCUGAACCACCACGCUCAAUGCCAUCCCAGUUACAGGAGGAGGUUCAAAGGCCUGGGAAGAAGAUGGACGAGGUGGAUGGGAAAGGUCUUUGGAGAAUAUGAGGUCUUGUACAGACACAAGUAAUUACUGGAAGGAGGUAAAGGUCCCAAGAGAGGUAUAAAGUGGUAUAGACCUCAGGGCAAAAUCAAGGAAGAUGUCCAGGAUGAGGCGGCGUUUGCUCCUGGGGUAGGAGUGAGGGCUGUCCAGAGUAUGUGUGGGAUGGGGGUGGGGUUUCCUCCAGCCUUUCCCCAUUGGCACGGGAUGGCUCAAUGAGUUAGUUAAUUGGCUCCUUAGCACAAGUGAAGGGACCAGGACCACAGAAAGCUUUGGGCACCUAAAGCUGGGGUCCUGACUGCAAAGAACAUGAUGGGCGGGGAGAACUGAGAGGGCACAGAAGGUUGGUAGCAGGUAGGGUGGGGGUGGCCAGACAGCUUGAGUUCAAAUCCUGGUGUUCUCCCACCCUGUAGUUAUGAGGCCACAGACAAGCUACUCCACAGCUCUCUGCCUUAAUUUCUUCAUCUGAAGAAUGGGAAUGAUAAUAAUGGUAUGUACUUCAGAGGCUUGUGUAAAUAUAACAUGCUUAUCUGUGUGAAAUGUUUACUGUGAUGCCUGGCACAGACAUUUCUCUCAUUCUAAGCCCAGGAUACCAAUUGGUACCACUAUCCAGAGAAGAAUGGGGUUAGAACAAAGCAGGCACACGUCUAUUUCAACCUACUUUCCUGGUAAACCUAAAUCUGGCAGAGAUGAAUGGCUUCAUAAAAUAACACAGACUAGCCAGCUCCUCUCCUCCAUCCUUGGUUUUGUUUUUGCCAAUCACUAGAUUUGCUUUUCAGGGAAAGAUAAGGAGAGUAGGAGACAGAGAAGGCAGAGGCCAGUGGGCUGCCAGUUCUGUGAAACCGGGCUGAUAGACUGUCAGUGGUUUCUGAGUUACCACUCUUAUUUCUGCAUCAUCCUUGUGCAGCUCUGUCGGAAUUUCUGAACUCUUGUGAAUUAGCCUCCACAGUCCCUUGUAUACUGUGGGUUUACUCUCCAUUCUUAGAGGCAGACACAUUCUUGCAGAGAAAACGCAGAUGGGGACAAAAUCCUUUCUUGAGCAGGUUAAUGGCAAAAUAGAAGGAUGACUAUCACGGGGGCAGGAGGGGAGUAAGAGGAAAGAGAAACCAGUAUGUACUGAGGCACCCCUUCAUAGGACCAGGCUUGGUGAAGAAGCUGGCAUGUUCCUGUCACACCAGCCCUGCAAGGAAAGGAUUUAACUCCAUUGUAGAGAUGUAGAAACUGGCCCAGAGCCACAGCUUGUCCAUAGAUGUGGAAAUCCCACCCAGAUCUAUUCAACACUGAGUCACCCUCUUUCUCUAUAGUACGUGAAAGGGGUAUAGGAUUAAAACAAGUGUCUUUACUCGUGCUUGAAAAAUAACAUUUUUGGGUGCACUUUAUCUGAGAAACUCCAUUGACUCAGAGCUGCAGGCUGGGUUCACCUGACUUGGAAAAAGAACGCUCCAUGGAAGGCAUGGCAAAUUCUGCUCAUAGGCCACUAUAAUGCCUAGGAAGCAAAGUGCGGGGAAAGGUCAGUCCUGCCUUGUUUCCAGGUGGAAGGCUGCAGUUUGUUGUCAUCAGCAAAUCAAUCUCCAUCAGGAUAUAGCUACUUGUAGUUAUGUUUUACUAUUGCACAUUUGCUCAGUGGCUUUCUGUCCAGGGAGGGGGAAAUAGGUCAGAAGCACACGGAACUAUUUCUGGGCCCUGGCCUUUGGGAAACCAGCCUUGUCCUGUUUACAUACCCUCUCUCCAGAUUUGCACAACCUGACCACAGAAACAUCACUCUCUAAGCCCAGGUAAACAGGCAACUGAAUAGUCUCCAGUCAGCCAAUAGCUAUUAAGAAACCAAGGGAGUCCAGAAGCCUAUACUAAGGAAUUUUGAUAAACACAGAAGAAAACAGCAGCCCAAGCCUCCUGACUUUGGGCUGCUGGAGCAAAGAUGUAUUCCCAUCUUGGGGAGGAGGCCACACAGUGCACAUUCUGAGCCCCUCUCCAGCAUGACCCUUGGAGCAGUCACCCCUUAUAGUACCCAUCCAGUUACACCACCAAACUGAGGUAGCGAGGGCAAGAGGAAGAAGGAAGUCUCUUAUUCAGCAAUGAGUCUGGAUGAAUCAGGUCUCCCUUAGAAAACAAAACUGGAGGAAGGGGACUGUGUCUGAACUUUUACAUCAUUUUCUUCAAAAAGUUGGUUGGGAGUAGAAUGUAGAAGGAUUCAGGAACAUAAUAGGGUAAAAGGUUAUGAGGAGAGGGUUUUUGUAAAGAGCCAGGCACUCUUCCAGGUCAGCUAGUGCCCAGGUAAUCAAAGUGUGUUGGCAGGGGAGAAGGAGGAUGGUAGGGAGACGGAGAUAGAGAUAUGGAGAGAGGAGACAGAUGGUAGAUGAGGCGCAUGCUUGCUGUACGGAGCCAGAAAAGGAAGUCAUCACACAUCUGAAUGUGUCAUUGCCAAGUUCCCAGAGACCAAAAAGCCUGGGUCUGCCUGUCAAACAUUGGAUUUUCUUAUGACCCUGAAGUCCCCAAAUAAACCAGCCAGCUUCCCCCA
This 3470-nucleotide long non-coding RNA is filed under the name Piliocolobus tephrosceles (Ugandan red Colobus). Its description in RNAcentral is "lncRNA (ENSPTEG00000031991.1)". The record is from RNAcentral. Lineage: Eukaryota; Metazoa; Chordata; Mammalia; Primates; Cercopithecidae.